RNAcentral lists this ribosomal RNA (253 nucleotides) under uncultured bacterium. Its description in RNAcentral is "partial 16S ribosomal RNA". It matches the Rfam family "Bacterial small subunit ribosomal RNA", at positions 524 to 776 of the family's 1533-position model. The record is from RNAcentral.
AACGUAGGACGCAAGCGUUAUCCGGAGUUACUGGGCGUAAAGCGCGAGCAGGCGGCUCGACAAGUUCGAUGUGAAAGCGCCCGGCUCAACCGGGCGAGGCCAUUGGAAACUAUCGAGCUGGAGGGCAGUAGAGGCAGGCGGAAUUCACGGUGUAGCAGUGAAAUGCGUAGAUAUCGUGAGGAACACCAGAGGCGAAGGCGGCUACCUGGACAAUUGCUGACGCUCAGGCACGAAAGCGUGGGGAGCAAAAGGG